RNAcentral lists this ribosomal RNA (442 nucleotides) under uncultured bacterium. RNAcentral describes it as "partial 16S ribosomal RNA". It matches the Rfam family "Bacterial small subunit ribosomal RNA", at positions 338 to 795 of the family's 1533-position model. The record is from RNAcentral.
CCUACGGGGGGCAGCAGUGGGGAAUAUUGGGCAAUGGACGCAAGUCUGACCCAGCAACGCCGCGUGAAGGAAGAAGGCUUUCGGGUUGUAAACUUCUUUUAAGGGGGAAGAGCAGAAGACGGUACCCCUUGAAUAAGCCACGGCUAACUACGUGCCAGCAGCCGCGGUAAUACGUAGGUGGCAAGCGUUGUCCGGAUUUACUGGGUGUAAAGGGCGUGCAGCCGGAGAGACAAGUCAGAUGUGAAAUCCACGGGCUCAACCCGUGAACUGCAUUUGAAACUGUUUCCCUUGAGUGUCGGAGAGGUAAUUGGAAUUUCUUGGGGAGGGGGGAAAUGCGUAGGUAAAAGGAAGAAAAACAGGGGGGAAGGCGGAUUACUGGACGAUAAAUGACGGUGAGGCGCGAAAGCGUGGGGAGGAAACAGGAUUAGAUACCCCAGUAGUC